UAUGACGGACGGUGUGCCGCUA
Molecule: non-coding RNA, 22 nt
Filed under: Arabidopsis thaliana (thale cress)
Lineage: Eukaryota; Viridiplantae; Streptophyta; Magnoliopsida; Brassicales; Brassicaceae
Source: RNAcentral